GGCCCUUGAUUGGUCAUUAGUGGCCCAUUAUCCAUAUGAUUUAUAAAGCAACAUAUUGUUUUUCGGUUGUUUUGACAGGAACUCAUAAUCGCUUGGUCGCUGGUUCAAGUCCAGCAGGGGCCACCA
This 126-nucleotide transfer RNA is filed under the name Citrobacter freundii. Its description in RNAcentral is "tRNA-OTHER". RNAcentral also lists the same sequence under 3 other names. The record is from RNAcentral. Lineage: Bacteria; Pseudomonadati; Pseudomonadota; Gammaproteobacteria; Enterobacterales; Enterobacteriaceae.